Molecule: ribosomal RNA, 404 nt
Filed under: Actinomycetes bacterium
Lineage: Bacteria; Bacillati; Actinomycetota; Actinomycetes
Description: Actinobacteria bacterium partial 16S ribosomal RNA
Rfam family: Bacterial small subunit ribosomal RNA
Source: RNAcentral
UGGGGAAUAUUGGACAAUGGGCGCAAGCCUGAUCCAGCCAUGCCGCGUGAGUGAUGAAGGCCCUAGGGUUGUAAAGCUCUUUCACCGGUGAAGAUAAUGACGGUAACCGGAGAAGAAGCCCCGGCUAACUUCGUGCCAGCAGCCGCGGUAAUACGAAGGGGGCUAGCGUUGUUCGGAUUUACUGGGCGUAAAGCGCACGUAGGCGGACUAUUAAGUCAGGGGUGAAAUCCCGGGGCUCAACCCCGGAACUGCCUUUGAUACUGGUAGUCUGGAGUUCGAGAGAGGUGAGUGGAAUUCCGAGUGUAGAGGUGAAAUUCGUAGAUAUUCGGAGGAACACCAGUGGCGAAGGCGGCUCACUGGCUCGAUACUGACGCUGGGGUGCGAAAGCGUGGGGAGCAAACAGG